GCGUCCGUAGCUCAACUGGAUAGAGCGCCAGAUUUCGGCUCUGGAGGUUCAGGGUUCAAAUCCUUGCGGGCGCACCA
RNAcentral lists this transfer RNA (77 nucleotides) under Candidatus Pelagibacter sp. RNAcentral's name for it is "tRNA-Arg". It matches the Rfam family "tRNA". Rfam says of the family: Transfer RNA (tRNA) molecules are approximately 80 nucleotides in length. The record is from RNAcentral. Lineage: Bacteria; Pseudomonadati; Pseudomonadota; Alphaproteobacteria; Candidatus Pelagibacterales; Candidatus Pelagibacteraceae.